UACGUAGGGUGCGAGCGUUAAUCGGAAUUACUGGGCGUAAAGCGUGCGCAGGCGGUUUUGUAAGCCAGAUGUGAAAUCCCCGGGCUUAACCUGGGAAUGGCAUUUGGGACUGCAAGGCUUGAGUUUGGCAGAGGGGACUGGAAUUCCUGGUGUAGCAGUGAAAUGCGUAGAGAUCAGGAGGAAUACCGAUGGCGAAGGCAGGUCCCUGGGCUGAAACUGACGCUCAUGCGCGAAAGCGUGGGGAGCAAACAGG
RNAcentral lists this ribosomal RNA (253 nucleotides) under uncultured bacterium. Its description in RNAcentral is "partial 16S ribosomal RNA". It matches the Rfam family "Bacterial small subunit ribosomal RNA", at positions 524 to 776 of the family's 1533-position model. The record is from RNAcentral.